This 358-nucleotide unclassified non-coding RNA is filed under the name soil metagenome. Its description in RNAcentral is "partial contains 5.8S ribosomal RNA, internal transcribed spacer 2, and large subunit ribosomal RNA". The stretch from base 1 to 120 matches the Rfam family "5.8S ribosomal RNA", at positions 35 to 154 of the family's 154-position model. The record is from RNAcentral.
GAUGAAGAACGUAGCGAAAUGCGAUAAGUAAUGUGAAUUGCAGAAUUCAGUGAAUCAUCGAAUCUUUGAACGCACAUUGCGCCCGUCAGUAUUCUGGCGGGCAUGCCUGUUCGAGCGUCAUUACGCCCCUCAAGUCCCCUGUGGACUUGGUGUUGGGGAUCGGCGAGGCUGGUUUUCCAGCACAGCCGUCCCUUAAAUUAAUUGGCGGUCUCGCCGUGGCCCUCCUCUGCGCAGUAGUAAAACACUCGCAACAGGAGCCCGGCGCGGUCCUCUGCCGUAAAACCCCCCAACUUUUUAUAGUUGACCUCGAAUCAGGUAGGACUACCCGCUGAACUUAAGCAUAUCAAUAAGCGGAGGA